CACACACCACACAGACUGCUGUGUGGCCGUUCCUGGGGGUUGCUUCCCACCCCGUGGUUCAUUGCAAACCAUGGUACUGAAAAGGGAGAGGAGAGAAGUGUGGGGCGGGAGCUGGCUAUCUUCAGAUCUUAGAGAGUGCAGUUCAUCCCCUGGAUAAAGGCGUCCGUCUCUUGUGCUAUUCCUGGGUCUUUUGGUUCAAGCCGCAGACAAAGAGAUCUUUAUAAAUGCAGGUUCGUUCUCACGACUUCUCUCCCUGGCCCAUUUAUCUUAUUUUCUUUUCUCGUAACUUACCUGUGUCCUAUUCUCUUCUUUCUCUGUCGUUUGCUUUUAUGUCUGUGAUCUCUGCACUCCUCCACCCUGUAUCACACCAGGUUAAUGCCCAGACAACUGCUUGAAAGGAACAAGUGUCAAGGGGAAUUCCUUAAUAAUCAAGAUGGCAACAGAUGGGCAGGGCUCUCAGCAGAAUGGCAGGUGUGCUUAACCAUCAGGCUCCUUCUGAGGAGUGCUGACCAUUUUUCCUGGGAAGAGGAAAGCAGGCAACACAAAUCCCCUCCUUCAGGUUAGCUUGUCUCCUGGUGUCUGGCACUGUCCGUGGACAGAGAUUUCCCCCAUGCACAAGAAUCCCUUAGGGUUUCAAUAGUACAUUCAUGGAGAGGUGAACGUUUAGCUUCUGGAUCUCAUGAAGGAUUGGUUUUAGCUGAGCAAAAAAGGAUAGAUGGAAGAGGAACAAUGAAGAAAGUUAAUGUCAGGUCAAUGUCAAAACAUUCCCUUCCAGAGCCCCCAUUCUCGCUUUAAGGGAUGGUUAGGCUCUGAGAGAGUCCACAGUAUACCCUAUGCCCUCCAGUGGGUCUUGUUAGAAAAAAGAACCCAGUAUUUAUUUUAUAGAACAUCUGUUACUCACAAGGGUGUUCUUCCUUUUGGGGCAGAGAACUGUUCUGUCACCUGGACUGUGUUUGUGGAAGAUUCGAAGGGGCCCCACGUGUUCAUUUUGCAACAGAAAGUUGGCAUUGUUAGGACUUAGAAAUCUGUCCCUUCGAUGGGCGACCUUGGUCCUCAAUAUGUCCCAUGGUGUUCUGCAGAAAGGACGAGGGUAUACCCUUGAAUAGGAUGAUUUAAACUGUUACCACGUUAACUAUUUCUUUGCUGGCUGAGGGUGUGUUUGGUGGGCCAGCUCAUUAUUUUUCCCCAAUGGGAUGCAUUGGUCUUACAGCACAAUCAUUUCUUGUUCAAUAAAGAUGUUAACUGAUUCUCUUCAGCAUCCAACAUUAGAGCUUCAUAGGUCUUCAUCCCACAGCUGGACCGGGACGGGGCCAAGUCUUAGCAGUUGGAGGAAACAUACUCAUUUGAUGGCUCCGGGGUAACAUGGCUGCUUCUCCCAAUCAGUUAUCACUCUCAGACAAGGAUCUCCUGUGAUCCAUUAGGGGAGGGAUUAACAUCUCAUUUUGCAGCUCUUAAGUAUUUACUGCCAAGGCCGGGUUAUACAAAACUUAUUUCUGUCUCAUUUUCUUAGGAAAUAAGAACGUACCUCAGAGAGGCAUUGCGUUCUGUAAAGAAUUUUGUUAAUUGACUUUGCUGGAAAAGGGAACAUGAUUGAGAGAGGGGGGGGGAGAGGCAGAGAAGUCUUGGUGGGGGGAAGGGGUUCGAUCCCAGCUCCUUUGGCUCUGAAGAGAAAUCCCUCUCACCACUCCAACACUCCUGCCCUCACGGACAUACACACAUGUUAACUCCAACACCUUCCACACAUAUCCUUAGAUGUGGCAUUAACUAAGCAAACUAAAAAUGUGUAAUGUAAAUAACCAAAUCAGUUAUUUUCCUUUGCAAUUAAAAUAUAAGUGGUAUCUCUUUGGGCAGCCAGGGAGAUCUUUAAUUGUUAGUUCGCUUUGGUCAGUCAAAGCGAAGUGGAAGGAUUUUUUUUGUUUGUUUACAUGUGAACUGUUUAUUUUAUUCUUGAUCGCGUGGGACCGACGGCCAGUAUAUCCCAGUAGAGACAAAUUUCCCAGUUCUUAUUUGUCACAAGUAGUCACGUUGCCACAUUCAUCUUGCAACGAUGUCUACCUGGCAUCUGCCUGCUAUUCUGCAUGACUGGACCCCCAAAACCAUCACUGGUGAAGAGAAUUAUCCCUAUGUCCAUGUUUAUGAGAUAUGCCUACAGCACACAGAUACACACACAUGUUCACAUACGCCCAUAGAGUUCUUUAUCAACCUGGAAGCCAAAACCAUGUGUUGCCCAGCGACGUUGCAGAGUCUCAGAGGUGAGAUGGGCUGUCAGUGGCCUGAUAGAUUUGUUGUGGUCUCAAUGCUGUCUGAUACGAACCGAACCAAACUCCUUCAACCCAUUUCUGUGUUCUUUCUCGCAUCCUUUUCCAUUUUUCCCCCUCUUAUUUUAAAUAUGUCUGUGGAAAAGAGCAUGAAUUGGAGAACCUUGAUUUCUUGAGACUCUUCCCAGGUGGAACCAAGUCCGUGUGUUGUAAUUUGUAUGUCUUAUGAAUCAUUAAAGCAGAAGGAAAUACGCUUCCCUUCUCUUAAAACCAAACAAGACCCAGACUCUGUCAGACUCUCCCGUCGACAACGCGUGUUUGUGCCGCUUUGGUGUCAUGAGCUUCGAGAGCUCCGAAGGGGCCUCCAUGAGUUUAUUCUGACCCCAGUGAAGGAGACUAGCGGUGGGCAGUUGUACCAAGCCGGUAAAGGAGAAGGAAGAGUAGCUUCCUUCUCAUCUGGGACCUGUGUCUCAGUGGAGAAGGGCAUGUUUGUGCUUGAGAUUCAUUCCUCCCAGAAGGCCUUCGCUUUCACCUGCAGAUCCUAGCUUCUAGGUUACAAAUCAGUAAAAACCAAUAAGAUAACAAUGGACAGAAGUCAUUGAUAAGUAGAUCAGGACUACAUUUUUUUUCAGAUCGAUCAACAGGAGUACUAAUAUUAAUUUUGCCUGAGAGAUUUAUUUUGUCUACAUUAUUAUUUCAGACUUCUUGUCAAAUUUAAGGACUUGAGUUACACUGGUGGAGUUGACUGAGCAUGCCAGGGUUCAGCUGGCCAUGUGCGCACAAUGCUGGGGAGUGACCUGCAUAUUUCUGUGAACAAUACAUUUUAUUUACUCAGCUA
RNAcentral lists this long non-coding RNA (3096 nucleotides) under Rattus norvegicus (Norway rat). RNAcentral's name for it is "long non-coding RNA NONRATT009208". Lineage: Eukaryota; Metazoa; Chordata; Mammalia; Rodentia; Muridae. The record is from RNAcentral.